This 1188-nucleotide long non-coding RNA is filed under the name Androctonus crassicauda. The record is from RNAcentral. Lineage: Eukaryota; Metazoa; Arthropoda; Arachnida; Scorpiones; Buthidae.
CACUACCUGAAUUCGGACCCCAUCCCCUGUCCGACUGGUCCCGGCGAUGAAACGAAAUUUUUAUAUCAAGAUGGAUCUCCUGCAGGGACAAAAACGAUUGGAGUGAACGUGCAGCUUCUACCAAAAAUUCCAUUAUAGAUGUAAUGAAAAUAACUUUAUUACUAAAACGUUUGAUUUAUAAUAAAACUACAAUAAAAUAACUUUAACUUCAACAAGAUAAUAGCCUCUACUAUAUCAUCAAUAGCAGCACAAAACAUCAAAAUAACACUAGAGGAAGAUGAAGACAACACUUUCUACGAAACGGCCAGUUCACCACAGUCACAGACAAACAGUUCACAAGUCGGACACUUCACCAGUCUCAAACGGACAGUACGCACACAAUCAACGUACAAGAGUGGCUACUGCUCUGCCUCUUUUCCACAGCUUUAUGUACUGCUACCUAAUUUACAUAUUGACAUAAGUUAUCUUACAAUUAUAAAAUGUAGUAGAGAUUCUUGCUUUAAAUACAUUUUUAACACCAUUAAUUAUUAAUCAAAACAUUAAUUUAAUUUAUCAAAAUGUAAAAGGUUUCAAAUUAACAAACUUAAAUUUUUAAAUUUAACAUAAUUACGAAAUGACAUCCGGGUUCUGUAAAAACAAGAUGGCGGCAGCAGGUGAGUACGUCUCAAUCCUUCACAGCCUUCCCCAAAAAGACUGUCCUGGGGCCCCUUCCCCAGUACCGGCUACCUGCUCCAUACAUCCUUUAUGAACCAGUUAUUCAGUAGAAGCAAUAUCGUCUUCUUACAACAACCGUUCAUCCUUUAAAUACUCAGGGGUAGCCGACCGAUGCUGGUACUCCUCGUAAUAACCCGAAGACGACUGACCACCAGAACACGCUGCACCAUCAUCAUUCAAACUCCGUCUUCGACGUUUAGCUGCACAGGAUCUGCAAAUGGAUUCUCUUUGAGCAGUUCUCUCAAAAACAGGAAGGGGAAACAGGGUCCCUGUUCGGGCGCCAUUUGUAGGGUAGGUAGUAUCACCUCUACCGCUACCUAGGUCCGGACCCCGUGCCCCCACUGACCGCUCCUUUCGUUGGACAGUAAUCUUUAUUUGUAUUUCAUGCUGUAUUAGCCAACGAGAAAACAACCUAACUGUAUCAUCCAAGUACUCCAUGACACAUAUAAGGUAAGAACUUCUGUUUAAUAUAAA